This 427-nucleotide ribosomal RNA is filed under the name uncultured bacterium. RNAcentral describes it as "bacterial SSU rRNA". It matches the Rfam family "Bacterial small subunit ribosomal RNA", at positions 376 to 793 of the family's 1533-position model. The record is from RNAcentral.
CGCAAGCCUGAUGCAGCCAUGCCGCGUGUAGUGAAGAAGGCCUUCGGGUUGUAAAGGUACUUUCAGCAGUGAGGAAGGUGGGUAUGUUAAUAGCAUAUUCAUUUGACGUUAGCUGCAGAAGAAGCACCGGCUAACUCCGUGCCAGCAGCCGCGGUAAUACGGAGGGUGCGAGCGUUAAUCGGAAUUACUGGGCGUAAAGCGCAUGCAGGUGGUUUGUUAAGUCAGAUGUGAAAGCCCGGGGCUCAACCUCGGAAUUGCAUUUGAAACUGGCAAACUAGAGUACUGUAGAGGGGGUAGAAUUUCAGGUGUAGCGGUGAAAUGCGUAGAGAUCUGAAGGAAUACCGGUGGCGAAGGCGGCCCCCUGGACCAGAUACUGACACUCAGAUGCGAAAGCGUGGGGAGCAAACAGGAUUAGAUACCCUGGUAG